UUGAGUAUUUCUCUCUGCUUGUUCUUAAUC
Molecule: non-coding RNA, 30 nt
Filed under: Mus musculus (house mouse)
Lineage: Eukaryota; Metazoa; Chordata; Mammalia; Rodentia; Muridae
Source: RNAcentral